RNAcentral lists this ribosomal RNA (459 nucleotides) under uncultured bacterium. RNAcentral's name for it is "partial 16S ribosomal RNA". It matches the Rfam family "Bacterial small subunit ribosomal RNA", at positions 338 to 795 of the family's 1533-position model. The record is from RNAcentral.
CCUACGGGUGGCAGCAGUGAGGAAUAUUGGUCAAUGGUCGGGAGACUGAACCAGCCAAGCCGCAUGAGGGAUGAAGGUACAGAGUAUCGUAAACCUCUUUUGUCAGGGAACAAAGGCGGGGACGUGUCCCCUGAUGAGUGUACCUGAACGAAACGCAUCGGCAAACACGGUGCCAGCAGCCGCGGUAAUACGGAGGCUGCGAGCGUUAUCCGGAUUAAUGGGGUUAAAAGGGUGCGCGGGCGGUCUGUUAAGUCAGCGGUCAAAGCCCGGGGCUCAACCUCGGACCGCCUUUGAAACUGGCAGUCUCGAGUUGGAGAGAGGUAUGUGGAAUGCGCGGUGUAGGGGUGAAAUGCAUAGAUAUCGCGCAGAACUCCGAUUGCGAAGGCAGCAUGCCGGCUCCACACUGACGCUGAGGCACGAAAGCGUGGGUAUCGAACAGGAUUAGAUACCCGUGUAGUC